CUUACGAUAAUAGACUGUGGUUUAGGGAAUUUGGUGUGAAUCCAAGACUGACGCGCAACGGUAAAAGUCCGAUACCUGCCACGCAUCCAAUCGCUUC
This 97-nucleotide non-coding RNA is filed under the name Providencia rettgeri. The record is from RNAcentral. Lineage: Bacteria; Pseudomonadati; Pseudomonadota; Gammaproteobacteria; Enterobacterales; Morganellaceae.